Molecule: small nucleolar RNA, 88 nt
Organism: Mangifera indica (mango)
Lineage: Eukaryota; Viridiplantae; Streptophyta; Magnoliopsida; Sapindales; Anacardiaceae
Product: small nucleolar RNA R32/R81/Z41
Exons: 1
Source: RefSeq, a predicted model, not a curated record
CCAUGAAAAUGAAGAAAGUAAAGCACGGGUGAUGAUUAAUUCAUCUGAUCAAAAUCAUCUCUUUCGCUACGUUCUUUCUGAUUCAUGU